RNA transcript from Zea mays, 2197 nucleotides. It is a transcript of the gene named Sulfite exporter TauE/SafE family protein, with no coding region annotated. Lineage: Eukaryota; Viridiplantae; Streptophyta; Magnoliopsida; Poales; Poaceae. The transcript is spliced from 12 exons. The record is from RefSeq and is marked provisional.
CUGCGGGGCGAUGCCAAAAUCGAAACACGCCUCCCCCUCCUCGUCUGGCUCCCCGUGACCGAUCUCGUAAUCUCAUCCGCACCCGCCUGGCCGCCUUGCCUAGCCUUGCCUGCUCUCCUCAUGCCCUGGCCGCCGCCUAUAAAAGAGCGAGGCGGAGGGGCAGGCGCCGGCCGUUCUUCUCUCUCCUUCUUCCUCGGUCCUCUCCUCUCCGCAUUUCGGGCGGCCACUUGUGGCGGCGUAGCUAGCGUACUACAGCUCCCUGCAUGGUGAUGGAGGGGCGCACGGGCUCACUCUACGGCCGCCUCAACAAGAGCAGCACGCGGGGGUUCCUCGCCUACACCGCCGCCGGGGCUGCCUGCGCGGCUGUCCUCGCCUGCUUCGUGCUCUCCGCCGCGGACUCGCCGGCAUCUGCGGCGCGCAACGAUGGCGAGCGCCUCCGCCUGUCCUCGCGCUCACCGCGCGUCUGGCCCGACCUCGCGUUCAACUGGCGGGUGGUGGUCGCCACCGUCGUCGGGUUCCUCGGUUCCGCGUUUGGCACCGUCGGCGGCGUCGGCGGAGGCGGGAUCUUCGUGCCCAUGCUCAACCUCGUCGUCGGCUUCGACACCAAAUCCGCCGCCGCGCUCUCCAAAUGCAUGAUCAUGGGGGCCUCGGCGUCAUCAGUUUGGUACAACCUCCAGGUGUCGCACCCGACCAAGGAGGCGCCCGUCAUCGACUACAAGCUCGCGUUGCUCUUCCAGCCCAUGCUUAUGCUCGGCAUAACCAUCGGCGUAGAGCUCAGCGUCAUCUUCCCAUACUGGCUAAUCACUGUCCUCAUUAUAAUCCUCUUCGUAGGCACCUCGUCGAGAUCCUUCUACAAGGGCAUUCUGAUGUGGAGGGAGGAGUCCAGGAUUCUGAUGGAGACACGCGGGCGAGAAGAGCAAUCCAAGUCUACCUGCGCUGCAAGUGAUGUGGUCAUUGAUCCCAGUUAUGGGGAGCCCCUCCUGACUCAACCUCAGCCCAAGAAGUCUGCAUGGGAGACUUUCAUGUUCAAUCUGAGGUGGAAGAAUAUCCUUGUGUUAAUGUCUGUCUGGUCAUUGUUCUUGGUGCUGCAAGUUCUCAAGAAUAAUUCAAAAUCAUGCAGCUCUUUCUACUGGGUGAUAAACGUUCUACAGGUUCCAGUUGCGGUAAGUGUGUUCUUGUGGGAGGCCAUGCAGUUAUGUAGGGAGAGUCAUGCACGACGUAUGAAUGGGAACCUGGAAUGUGUGUGUGAGGCCUCUAUUGAGUGGUCACCAGCACAACUGAUCUUUUGUGCCUUUUGUGGCCUUCUCGGUGGGACUGUUGGUGGCCUUCUUGGAUCUGGUGGUGGGUUCAUCCUUGGCCCACUUCUUCUUGAGCUUGGGUGCAUACCGCAGGUGGCAAGUGCAACAGCAACAUUCGUGAUGAUGUUCUCCUCCUCCCUCUCUGUGGUGGAGUUUUACUUCCUGCACAGAUUCCCCCUGCCUUUUGGUAAAUCCAUCUGGCUACCUCAUCUUCAUUUCCAUAUUGGCUGGAUUCUGGGGCCAGUGUUUGGUUAGGAAGAUCGUGCAUGUGCUCAAGAGAGCAUCGCUUAUUGUCUUCAUCCUCUCCUCUGUUAUCUUCGUCAGUGCUCUUACGAUGGGUGUCGUUGGAACCCAGAAGAGCAUUUCGAUGAUCAACAAUCACGAAUAUAUGGGGUUCCUCAACUUCUGCGAGUAACUCAAACACCAUCAGACUGUCGAUCCGUCCGGGAGAAUCCAGGCCAAUGCCUAAUUGACCUCAUCUCCCUCAAAAUCUAGAAGAAUAAAGUCGCCGAGUAUGUGCACAAGUUAGCUCCUCGCCAACAUGUGCGCAUUUAGACCGACAGAGUCGCUGUAGUGAAUUCAGCUCGUGUUAGCUCCUGGCUAACGAGCUGACCAUACGGCUUUAGUUUUGUGAAGUGGGCGCGAUUUCGUCAUGUCAUGCAUGUGUUAGCUCCUGGCUAACCUGCAAAUGCGUGUGUUGGUGCAGGUUUUUGUCACGUCUGCGUCAGCUCCUGGCUGACCAGCAGUUGUUUGUCGUUCAUUCUCUGCGUCAGCUCCUGGCUGACCAGCAGUUAUUUGUUGUUCAUUCUUGCGCUAGCACCAGGCUAGGCUGCAAAACUGCAAAUAUUUGUUGCAUGGAACAUUGUAAAUAUCAGUCAAUUCCCAUUCUGUUUGUGCAA